Molecule: transfer RNA, 72 nt
Filed under: Ophiacantha linea
Lineage: Eukaryota; Metazoa; Echinodermata; Ophiuroidea; Amphilepidida; Ophiacanthidae
Description: tRNA-Ile
Source: RNAcentral
AAGUAAGGCCCUAACGGUAGGGGAAGUUAGCCGAUAACUAAUUUUUAACUAGUUCAAGUCUAGUCUUAUUUU